AUGUUGACUGAUGUCUGGAGCUCAGGAGACAGAAGACGACGUGGAUGGGCGCCUCGCGAAGAUGGUGGCGUGCGCGGCGUGUGGUGCCCGUGGUCUGGCCAAGUCUCAGCGCAGCGCACCAGCCGGCAUCUCGCCGUCCGGGAGCCCACACCCACCGGGUCCCUGACCCCGCGCCCCCCGCGCGCCCCCCGCGCCCGGUGCCCGGCAUGCCUCGCGCCCGUUACAGGCAACACGCUCCGGAAGGGUGGUCCGCGCCGUGGAGGAGGUGCCCGGAGCAGUACCCAAGCUGACUCGGGUUGCAGUGAUGAUGAGGCAGCCAGUGAGGCCCGCAGCACCGCCAGUGAAUGCCCCAGGCUUCUCAGCACCACUGCGGAGGACAGCCUUGUGGGGGAUGUCGUGGAUGAGCAGGGCCAGCAGGAAGACCUUGAGGAAAAGCUGAAGGAGUAUGUGGACUGCCUCACAGACAAGAGUCCCAAGACCCGGCAGGGUGCUCUCAAGAGCCUGCGCCUGGCCCUGGCGUCGCGCCUACUCCUCGACUUCUUGCUGGAGCGCCGCCUCACACUAGCUGAUGCCCUGGAAAAGUGCCUCAGGAAAGGGAAGGGAGAGGAACAAGCCCUGGCUGCUGCUGUGCGAGGCCUGCUCUGCGUGCAGCUGGGCCCUGAACCCAAGGGUGAGGAGCUGUUCCACAGCCUGCAGCCUCUGCUGGUCUCUAUGCUCAGUGACAGCACAGCUAGCCCUGCUGCCAGGCUCCACUGUGCUUCUGCUCUUGGCCUGGGCUGCUACGUGGCUGCUGCCGACAUCCAGGACCUAGUCUCUUGCCUUGCCUGCUUAGAAAGUGUUUUCAGCCGGUUCUAUGGCUUGGGUAGCUCCACGACUCCUGUGGUUCCUGCCAGCCUGCACGGCCUGCUCUGUGCUGCCCUGCAGACCUGGGCAUUGCUGCUCACCAUCUUCCCCAGCACCCAAAUCAGCCACAUCCUUGACAGGCAGCUGCCCCGGCUGCCCCAGCUCUUGUCCAGUUAAAGUGUGAACCUGUGGAUCGCUGCCGGUGAAACCAUUGCACUGCUCUUUGAGCUUGCCCGGGACCUUGAGGAGGUGUUUGUUUACGAGGACAUGGAGGCCCUCUGCAGUGUCCUGCGCACUCUGGCCACUGACAGUAACAAGUACCGUGCCAAGGCCGAUCGCCAGAGCCAGGGCUCUACUUUCCGCGCCGUGCUGCACUCGGUGGAGGGCGGUGAACGUGAAGAAGAGAUAGUGCGCUUCGGCUUUGAGGUGCUCUACAGGGACAGCUGGGCUGGGCACCGGAUCUACACUGCCUUCAAGGAAGUGCUGGGUUCAGCUAUGCACCACCACCUCCGGAGCAAUGAGCUACUCCGUGACAUCUUUGGCCUGGGCCCUGUGCUGGUGCUGGAUGCCACUGCCCUGAAGGCCUGCAAGGUUCCACGCUUCGAGAAGCACCUGUACAAUACUGCCACCUUCAAAGCCCGGACCAAGGCUCGAAGCCGUGUGCGGAGCAAGCGGGCAGACAUCCUGUGAAGCAGGACCUGCUGAAGAGGAGACUUUCUAUGCCCUUGGUCCGUAUUUUUAACAGAAGACAGUGCAACAACUGGUUUCCACCAGUAUUUGUCACUUUAUUUUUUUAAUGACAAAACCAAAAACAGACAUGGGGUGGGUAGCUGGGGGCCCGGACACUUGGGAUCCUGGCCCCUUUGUCCCUGCACUCAGCCCUGUGGCCUCUUCCUGCCCUGUCUCAGGUCAGGCUAAAUAUGUGCCUGUCCCAGGGCUGUGGGGCAGGCACUAGGGGGCCUUUCCCUUCCUUUCCUUUCCUUUCUCAGGCCUUGCUCCCCCAGGUUGACCCACUCUUAGGGGAGUAGUGGCGUCUGGACAAAUGCCACCACAGCAAGUGGAGAGGCAAAGCUACCUGGAAUGGAUUUGUGUGCUGAUUUUUAAGGAUUAUUAGAGAUAAUUAAACAGAAUGGUCAGGCUUC
Molecule: non-coding RNA, 1985 nt
Organism: Macaca mulatta (Rhesus monkey)
Lineage: Eukaryota; Metazoa; Chordata; Mammalia; Primates; Cercopithecidae
Source: RefSeq, a predicted model, not a curated record